This is a long non-coding RNA of Tyto alba (common barn owl), 2499 nucleotides long. RefSeq lists it as uncharacterized. The record is from RefSeq and is a predicted model, not a curated record. The transcript is spliced from 5 exons. Lineage: Eukaryota; Metazoa; Chordata; Aves; Strigiformes; Tytonidae.
CCCCUGUCAGGGAGCGGGGCGGUAGCUCCGCCCCCGAGUCCCCUCAGCGGCGGCGGGAGCGGGGGCGAGCGGGGCCGCUGCCUCUAUCGCAGCUGCUGCCGCCGCCGCCGCCGCCGGGUGAGGCGGAGCGAGGGUUGGGGGGGGGGGUGGCGGCUACGGUCGGCCCCGACACCUGCCUUUGCAGCGACGCCCCUUCAUCUCCCGCGGCCCCGGGCGUCUCCUCAGAGAAACUCGCCGCUUCCCGCCGCUCAGCGGUGGGGGAAGGUCUCCAGGCGUCUCGGCACGGCAGGCACCCGGCGCGUCUUGUAAGAUUUAUCUGCCAGAAACCACGGGAAAUUAAUGAAUUUAAAUAUAAAUACCAAUGUGUUCUGUCAAUGGACCUGUAUCGCCCCAAGGAAAUCACAUAUCCCCGUUAUAUGCUGCUGAGCUUGAGGGAUUUGAAGCCCGGAUUGCCAGCCUGGUGGAAAUGCUUCUGGUGGAGGUAUUACAGGUGCAAGCUCUGCCAGUUCCCGAGCAGUGUCAAAAUUAAGAUCAGGACACAUCUGGCUCAUAUGCAUGAAACAGAUAUGGCAUGUCGAAUUUCAGGCUGUCCUAAAAUGGACCAAGAUACAAGUGAGUCAUAUAGCAUGGGAGAUGAAGCUGACCAAGAAAAUAAAGAAAACGAAUGAAAAUCUUGGAAAAAAAAGCCUGUCUUAUUACCUGUAUAUUAGAUGUCUCAAAAUAUCAGUCCUCACUGCUGUGACAUGAGCCCAAGCCAUCAGAGCAGUAAUCCUCAUGCCUCUCACUCCUGUGAAGUGAACACCUUAUUUGGAGAAGCAGCAGCUUGUUUGCAGCUUGAGGAGCCUUGUUCUGUUGUGCUGGCUUCUCUUUCAUAUUCCAAGAGCAAAGAUCAAGAAGCAGCCCAGCGUGUGCCGCUUGGCCUCUGUCAUGUUUCCAGUGUUAGAAGUCAGACCUUAGUUGGGGAGGUAAAAACACUUAAAGCUGAGUCAAGGUGUAAAAAUUACAAAAAUCAGAGGAAAGCUACAUGUGGCAAUAAAGGGUCAGCUCAUCCUGUGAAGGAUGCUUGCGCCUUAAAGCUGGCUUCUGACAGAGCUCAGCAUUUCUGCAAUGUGUGCAGCAUUGCACUGAAGCUGAAAGAUGCUCAUAAAAUCCAUGACAAGAGUCAUGAUGUCGAUCGUGACUUCAGAUGUGUUUAUUGUGUGUGACUGAGUGGGACUUAAUGGAAAAUCAUUUAAAAUCACACAAGAGGAUAAAAGAAACCUACUGGUGCCUCAUCUGAGAAGGUGUUUUUAUGUCACAAUGAGCCUGGAAGAUGCACAGAAACAGCCAUUGGAGGAAACCAUCUCUUUCAGUGCACAAUAUAUUCAUAAUCUUUUGAAUUUGAAUGGAUAAGAAAUCUUCGUGUAGCUUGCCGUUAUCAGGAUAUGUUUAAAUGUCUACACAGUGAUUUUACCAGUCCUGUGACAUCUAGACCCUUUAGGGUCACUGGUUUCAGCUCCAUCAUGACAUCCUAACAUAGAUUGUGUUGGUGUUGAUGUACUGACCACUGAACCACACUGGAGAAGUUGGUGUACACUGAAUGGAGGAUCAGGUUAAAAGCCUUUCAAAAUGUGAGAUCUGCUCUUAUACCUCCAUUGAUACAAGCUCUCUGCAGCAGCACUUCUGAACACGUGCUAGUGAGAGGCCCUACAAAUGUUGACUCUGUUCAUAUAGUUGCACUAAGAAGAAGAGCUUGGACCUUCCCAUAUGCUGUCACACUGGUGAGGGAUUUGGCUGUAGUUUCUGCUGCUAUUCUUCUCCAAAAACACAUUAAGAAAUAAUCACCUGGGUUCAGGAACCUCAUUAACCAAUUCUCAGCCCACCUUUACCUUCAAACCACUUCCUGUGGAACAUUAGGUUCUUCACGCUUAAACUUCCACUAGAGUAUGCUGGCAAAUAAAGAAUCUGUUGGCAUUGUCAGACUUUUGUGCUGAAAGCCAUGGGCUAUCUGGAAGAAGAGAAGAAAUGGUCCUUAUGUGGCAAUUAGAAGCACUUAGAAUGGUCUUCCCCAAAAGCUCUCUGUGCGUUAUGGUACAGGUUGUGACUCUGGUUUGCUGAGAGGAGCACAUAGCUUGGUGUUGCGCAGAGAGUGGACAUGUUGAUUUCUGUUCUGGUUACCUCUUGCUAAUAUAUUCUGCUUGCUUACAAAUGAAGAGUUUGACAUUUCAAGGCAGAAUCUGUUGAAAUGUACCAAAGCUGACAGUGAACCCUACAGGUUGUUUCUGUACUACAUCUCCCAUUUUUAAUACAAGUCUCUAUAAAACAGUAAACGAUUCAAGAAAAUCUACUGAUGCCGUAGCACUCAUGGUAAAAAAAAAAAAAAAAUCACUACAUUUCUUCAUGGUUAUUUUUAAUAACAAAAUGUGUCUAUUACCAAAAGCUAGUCCAAUGUUGAGGUAAAAAUAUAAACUAUUGAAAUAUGACAUCAAAUAAACUUGACUUGAAGAUUCAGUGGUUAAA